This 119-nucleotide ribosomal RNA is filed under the name Ricinus communis (castor bean). Lineage: Eukaryota; Viridiplantae; Streptophyta; Magnoliopsida; Malpighiales; Euphorbiaceae. The record is from RNAcentral.
GGAUGCGAUCAUGCCAGCACUAAUGCACCGGAUCCCAUCAGAACUCCGAAGUUAAACGUGCUUGGGCGAGAGUAGUACUAAGAUGGGUGACCUUUUGGGAAGUCCUCGUGUUGCACCCC